GACAGAGGGUGCAAACGUUGUUCGGAUUUACUGGGCGUAAAGGGCGCGUAGGCGGCUUGACAAGUCCCGGGUGAAAUCCCUCGGCUCAACCGAGGAACUGCCUUGGAAACUGUCUGGCUUGAGGCCGGGAGAGGGUAGUGGAAUUCCCAGUGUAGCGGUGAAAUGCGUAGAUACUGGGAGGAACACCGGUGGCGAAGGCGGCUACCUGGACCGGUUCUGACGCUGAGGCGCGAAAGCGUGGGUAGCAAACAGG
RNAcentral lists this ribosomal RNA (253 nucleotides) under uncultured bacterium. Its description in RNAcentral is "partial 16S ribosomal RNA". It matches the Rfam family "Bacterial small subunit ribosomal RNA", at positions 524 to 776 of the family's 1533-position model. The record is from RNAcentral.